This 238-nucleotide ribosomal RNA is filed under the name uncultured bacterium. RNAcentral describes it as "partial 16S ribosomal RNA". It matches the Rfam family "Bacterial small subunit ribosomal RNA", at positions 15 to 236 of the family's 1533-position model. The record is from RNAcentral.
GAUCCUGGCUCAGGAUGAACGCUGGCGGCGUGCUUAACACAUGCAAGUCGAACGGAACUCUUUUGAUUGAGGCUUCGGCCAAAUGAUUCUGAGUUUAGUGGCGGACGGGUGAGUAACGCGUGAGUAACCUGCCUUGAAGUGGGGAAUAACGGCUGGAAACGGUCGCUAAUACCGCAUAAAGCAUUGAGAUCGCAUGGUUUUAAUGCCAAAGAUUUAUCGCUCUGAGAUGGACUCGCGU